GGAGUUAGCCGGUGCUUCUUCUGUGAGUGAUGUCCUUCCUGCCGGCUAUUAACCCGCAGGCCUUCUUCCUCACUGAAAGUGCUUUACAACCCGAAGGCCUUCUUCACACACGCGGCAUGGCUGGAUCAGGGUUGCCCCCAUUGUCCAAUAUUCCCCACUGCUGCCUCCCGUAGGAGUCUGGGCCGUGUCUCAGUCCCAGUGUGGCUGAUCAUCCUCUCAGACCAGCUACGGAUCGUCGCCUUGGUGAGCCGUUACCUCACCAACCAGCUAAUCCGACAUAGGCUCAUCCGAUAGCGCGAGGCCCGAAGGUCCCCCGCUUUCCCCCGUAGGGCGUAUGCGGUAUUAGCCUGGGUUUCCCCAGGUUAUCCCCCACUACCGGGCAGAUUCCUAUGCAUUACUCACCCGUCCGCCGCUCGCCACCAGGGAGCAAGCUCCCCGUGCUGCCGCUCGACUUGCAUGUGUUAGGCCUGCCGCCAGCGUUCAAUCUGACGACGAGUACACUAACUCGACGACGUAGACGGCGGCGUCGGACGACGGCGCUAG
Molecule: ribosomal RNA, 543 nt
Filed under: uncultured bacterium
Lineage: Bacteria
Description: partial 16S ribosomal RNA
Source: RNAcentral